UUGCUGCCCCGGGCUUUUGGAAUUCACCAUAUCUGUUUUACCAAGGGCCUGUUUGGUGUUUUGCUUUGGGUCAGUUACUGUAGCAAAACUCCGGCCCAAAGCAUGUUUGGUGAAAUCUGCUAUGCUUCCAAAUAGUGCUGAAACACUUCCAUUAUUGGGCCUAUUUUUAGAAGCAUCAUUUUGAUGCUUCUUGUUGCUUCCACUACUGUAGCCCGUAAAAUGCUUCUGCACUAUAACCCAUUAGUAGCCCAAAUACUUGAAGCAAUAUUUCCAAAAUAUCGCCACAAAUAUGAGAAGCAACCUAGAGCAACCCUAAGGCGAUUCGGAGGCGAUUUCACUGUGCACCGAGCUUCAACCAUCCCGUCGCUACAAACGACGUUUUUGCAGGCUCCGAUCGGUAAACAUAGCUUCAUUCUGUUCUUGUUCGUCUUCUUCUUCGUGUUGAUGGUACAGGAAUCAAGGUUGAGAUUCUCGUUAUGCUUGGAUGAUUUGUGGACUUGAAGGUUUCCAUUCUUGUAAAGGUUGGCUGAAACACCAUUUGUAGCCUUAUAUAUCAAAAUGUGUAUAUUUGAUUUUAAACAUGUAAUGUGUGCCUAAGCAGACCUUUUGGUAUUCAUUUUUAUGUGUAUGUAUAACAUGAGGGCAAGGGCCAUUAAUUUUUAAA
Molecule: long non-coding RNA, 664 nt
Organism: Cornus florida
Lineage: Eukaryota; Viridiplantae; Streptophyta; Magnoliopsida; Cornales; Cornaceae
Exons: 2
Source: RefSeq, a predicted model, not a curated record